UGAUCCUGGCUCAGAUUGAACGCUGGCGGCAGGCCUAACACAUGCAAGUCGAGCGGUAGAGAGAAGCUUGCUUCUCUUGAGAGCGGCGGACGGGUGAGUAAUACCUAGGAAUCUGCCUGAUAGUGGGGGAUAACGUUCGGAAACGGACGCUAAUACCGCAUACGUCCUACGGGAGAAAGCAGGGGACCUUCGGGCCUUGCGCUAUCAGAUGAGCCUAGGUCGGAUUAGCUAGUUGGUGAGGUAAUGGCUCACCAAGGCUACGAUCCGUAACUGGUCUGAGAGGAUGAUCAGUCACACUGGAACUGAGACACGGUCCAGACUCCUACGGGAGGCAGCAGUGGGGAAUAUUGGACAAUGGGCGAAAGCCUGAUCCAGCCAUGCCGCGUGUGUGAAGAAGGUCUUCGGAUUGUAAAGCACUUUAAGUUGGGAGGAAGGGCAGUUACCUAAUACGUGAUUGUCUUGACGUUACCGACAGAAUAAGCACCGGCUACU
This 492-nucleotide ribosomal RNA is filed under the name Pseudomonas sp. 01WB02.4-30. RNAcentral describes it as "bacterial SSU rRNA". It matches the Rfam family "Bacterial small subunit ribosomal RNA", at positions 14 to 501 of the family's 1533-position model. The record is from RNAcentral. Lineage: Bacteria; Pseudomonadati; Pseudomonadota; Gammaproteobacteria; Pseudomonadales; Pseudomonadaceae.